Molecule: transfer RNA, 67 nt
Filed under: Hoplopleura kitti
Lineage: Eukaryota; Metazoa; Arthropoda; Insecta; Psocodea; Hoplopleuridae
Description: tRNA-Gln
Source: RNAcentral
UUCAAGACGGUCUUAGAUGACACCAAAGUUUGAUUUUGGAGAAAGUGAUUAAAUUCACUUCUUGUUU